GAUGAACGCUGGCGGCGUGCCUAAUACAUGCAAGUCGAGCGAGCAGAUGAGGAGCUUGCUCCUCUGACGUUAGCGGCGGACGGGUGAGUAACACGUGGAUAACCUACCUAUAAGACUGGGAUAACUUCGGGAAACCGGAGCUAAUACCGGAUAAUAUAUUGAACCGCAUGGUUCAAUAGUGAAAUACGGUUUUGCUGUCACUUAUAGAUGGAUCCGCGCCGCAUUAGCUAGUUGGUAAGGUAACGGCUUACCAAGGCAACGAUGCGUAGCCGACCUGAGAGGGUGAUCGGACACACUGGAACUGAGAAAGGGUCCAGACUCCUACGGGAGGCAGCAGUAGGGAAUCUUACGCAAUGGGCGAAAGCCUGACGGAGCAACGCCGCGUGAGUGAUGAAGGUCUUCGGAUCGUAAAACUCUGUUAUUAGGGAAGAACAAAUGUGUAAGUAACUAUGCACGUCUUGACGGUACCUAAUCAGAAAGCCACGGCUAACUACGUG
This 497-nucleotide ribosomal RNA is filed under the name uncultured bacterium. Its description in RNAcentral is "partial 16S ribosomal RNA". It matches the Rfam family "Bacterial small subunit ribosomal RNA", at positions 28 to 507 of the family's 1533-position model. The record is from RNAcentral.